RNAcentral lists this long non-coding RNA (353 nucleotides) under Populus trichocarpa (black cottonwood). Its description in RNAcentral is "long non-coding RNA (PTRI_LNC002803)". Lineage: Eukaryota; Viridiplantae; Streptophyta; Magnoliopsida; Malpighiales; Salicaceae. The record is from RNAcentral.
UCCCACAAAGGCAGUAGUAGCCGAUGAUCACCUUGCAUUACCCGCAGGGGGCAAAAAUACUCCACUAACCAACACCAUUCCCAUUUCCAAUGUUCAAACCGAUAUCUAUGGGCUUGAGAUCUGGGAGGGUACCCUCCCCAUCAUCGACCUGGGAGGCAUUCAUGGUCCUCGCCGCUCUGACACCAUCAAACAGCUUGACCAUGCAUGCCAACACUAUGGUGGCUUUAUGGUAGUUACCUAGCUAUGCUUACAUGUGUGUGUGUAUUGCAUGUGGAAACCAUCAAAAUUAUUAUAGAAAACGUCACUGAGAAAAUGUGUUUUAACUUAAUUCAAUGUCUUCGGUUCAAUCAAGG